Molecule: long non-coding RNA, 763 nt
Organism: Gopherus evgoodei (Goodes thornscrub tortoise)
Lineage: Eukaryota; Metazoa; Chordata; Testudines; Testudinidae
Exons: 3
Source: RefSeq, a predicted model, not a curated record
AGCAGUGAUAUCAACACUGAGCACCAGGACAUCAUCCGGGGCACAGCGGCCGCCGAGUUCCACAAUCAUAUAUUUGAAAAAGUAACAGGGAGGGACUGUGAACCUGGUACCCACAUAGUUGUCCUGGGGAUCUCUGGGCCUCAGCCUCUCUUCACAGUGUGAAUUGAGUAAAGGCAUCUCCACUGUGACUGGAGCACAUUCCUCCCUGGUGGGGCUUGGCCACUGCAGGUGGGGUGGUAACCAUGAUCAAUCCAGGCAGGGAUUGAUGCUGUGACCCAGUUUGGGUUCCAUCCGCACUGGCUGGGCCACAUCAUGGGGGAGCCAUUUCAGUCACAAUGCAGCCUCCACUGUAACAAACCCAUGGGCCCCAUGCCUGGGCAGGGGUUGCUCUGUGGCACCCCUCAAACCCCCUGCUGGGCAGUGGGGACAGGACUUAGAGCCUUCUGCUCCAUAAGGUCCAGCCACAAGGAGAAUCUCUCUUGCCAGAAGUAUUAGGCCUGUGAUCCUUGGGAGCAAUUCCAACGCCAUCCCAUCGGAGGCAGCUCAGGGAAAGUGGGGUCCAGGACUUCUAGGGAGGGAAGGAAGGACGUGCUUCCCAUUAGGGCUGAGGGCAUCCUGCAGACGUGUUGAACUGGACAGCCUCACCCCUGGAUUGAGGCAAAUGUCACCAUUGAGGUGAUGAUGGCUUUUCUAGAAGCCCAAAGGAGAGCUGAGAACAGUGGUUAGCUGAGGAGACCUCGUGCACCACACUUCCGGUCUCUCC